GCCUGGGAGCCCUUCUGGAUUUUUGUGGAAUGUUUGCUGCUAUUCAAAUAAUUGAGAAAUAAUAAUAUAGAGAAACUAAGUAUUAAAAAUCUGCUGCAGGGAAGAAACCAUAACUGCCAUAAGGCUGUUCCUGUGGUUCCUUCAGAAGAAAUCAGCCUCCCACCACACAUGAGGAAGCGUUUCCCUGCCAAGUCACAGGUUCCAAAGCAUUUUGGCAUCUCCAGAAAACAAACAACCUUCGGAUUGCUUUUAUUUGGGGAGUGCAGAUUGCAGCAUGAGCCACGAUCCAAGUGUGAAACCAGCGCUGCUGCUCGGGGCUGGGCUGUGUUUGAAUCUGAGCUGCUCCUGAAGCUCUGGAUAUCCCUGCAGGAGAGGUGAAGGAAAAAUAGCACUUUGGGAACGUGGGUGGCUGAGAAACUGAAAUCAGACGUGGUUUAUGUGUUGCAAAAUGACUCCAUGGAUCAGGAUUUAAAAAAAACCAAACCAA
This is a long non-coding RNA of Poecile atricapillus (Black-capped chickadee), 487 nucleotides long. RefSeq lists it as uncharacterized. The record is from RefSeq and is a predicted model, not a curated record. The transcript has 3 exons. Lineage: Eukaryota; Metazoa; Chordata; Aves; Passeriformes; Paridae.